UUUCAUGCAUUAUUAAUGAUUUGAUGAUCAAUGUGAUCAUCAUGUGAAAAUCAGGAACCAUUAUUCGGUGAUUGGUCCACAGAUUCAAGAACAAUUUGCUAAAGUCAGAUUCGAUUGGAGACUUUGUGAAACUGUUGAACAGCAGCGAGAGAGGAAUCAGUGUCAGUUUUGAGGAGGGUUGGAUCAGAUCUGAGGAAGCUGUUAGUUUGGUGUGUCGCUGUCUGGAGCUCAACGGUAACAUAUACACCAUCAGGGUUCACCAAACCACGCUACACCUGUCUCUGAUGAAGUCCACUGAACU
Molecule: long non-coding RNA, 301 nt
Organism: Dicentrarchus labrax (European seabass)
Lineage: Eukaryota; Metazoa; Chordata; Actinopteri; Moronidae
Exons: 3
Source: RefSeq, a predicted model, not a curated record